This 338-nucleotide long non-coding RNA is filed under the name Theobroma cacao (cacao). Its description in RNAcentral is "long non-coding RNA (TCAC_LNC000629)". Lineage: Eukaryota; Viridiplantae; Streptophyta; Magnoliopsida; Malvales; Malvaceae. The record is from RNAcentral.
CCGAGGCAUGAGAUUGAGUACUAUCAGUAUUUGAUCCUAAAGAACUUGUACUUUCCUGCCUGUUAUGACCAGAGAAGCUAUUGUCUCUGGAGUGUAGCUGAGAAUUACUUUCAGGAGGAGGGUAUCGUGCAGGUUGUUGAUAAGAGGAAGAUACUUGUGAGUUACUUUCAGGAGGAGGGUAUUGUGCAGAUUGUUGAUAAGACGAAGAUACUUGAGAAUCACUCUCAGGAGGUGGGUAAUGUCCUGGUAAGGAUUGCUGAUAAGGGUACGGAGAUGAACCAUACUGAAAACUACCAUGAUGUUGAAGAGUAGGUGGAGGAGAAGUUUGAGGAAUUGGA